GUGCUUGCUUUGGCAGCACAUAUACUAAAAUUGGAAUGAUACAGAGAUUGGCAUGGCCCCUGUGCAAGAAAACUACCAGCAAAAAAAACCCAAGACCCUG
Molecule: small nuclear RNA, 100 nt
Filed under: Octodon degus (degu)
Lineage: Eukaryota; Metazoa; Chordata; Mammalia; Rodentia; Octodontidae
Source: RNAcentral